GCAAGCCUGAUCCAGCCAUGCCGCGUGAGUGAUGAAGGCCUUAGGGUUGUAAAGCUCUUUCGCACGCGACGAUGAUGACGGUAGCGUGAGAAGAAGCCCCGGCUAACUUCGUGCCAGCAGCCGCGGUAAUACGAAGGGGGCUAGCGUUGUUCGGAAUUACUGGGCGUAAAGCGCACGCAG
RNAcentral lists this ribosomal RNA (180 nucleotides) under uncultured bacterium. Its description in RNAcentral is "partial 16S ribosomal RNA". It matches the Rfam family "Bacterial small subunit ribosomal RNA", at positions 377 to 574 of the family's 1533-position model. The record is from RNAcentral.